GAGUAACACGUGAGUAACCUGCCCCUGACUUCGGGAUAAGCCCGGGAAACUGGGUCUAAUACCGGAUACGACUGCCGGACGCAUGUCUGGUGGUGGAAAGUUUUUUCGGUUGGGGAUGGGCUCGCGGCCUAUCAGUUUGUUGGUGAGGUAAUGGCUCACCAAGACGACGACGGGUAGCCGGCCUGAGAGGGCGACCGGCCACACUGGGACUGAGACACGGCCCAGACUCCUACGGGAGGCAGCAGUGGGGAAUAUUGCACAAUGGGGGAAACCCUGAUGCAGCGACGCAGCGUGCGGGAUGACGGCCUUCGGGUUGUAAACCGCUUUCAGCAGGGAAGAAGCGCAAGUGACGGUACCUGCAGAAGAAGUACCGGCUAACUACGUGCCAGCAGCCGCGGUAAUACGUAGGGUACGAGCGUUGUCCGGAAUUAUUGGGCGUAAAGAGCUCGUAGGUGGUUGGUCACGUCUGCUGUGGAAACGCAACGCUUAACGUUGCGCGUGCAGUGGGUACGGGCUGACUAGAGUGCAGUAGGGGAGUCUGGAAUUCCUGGUGUAGCGGUGAAAUGCGCAGAUAUCAGGAGGAACACCGGUGGCGAAGGCGGGACUCUGGGCUGUAACUGACACUGAGGAGCGAAAGCAUGGGGAGCGAACAGGAUUAGAUACCCUGGUAGUCCAUGCCGUAAACGUUGGGCACUAGGUGUGGGGGGCAUUCCACGUUCUCCGCGCCGUAGCUAACGCAUUAAGUGCCCCGCCUGGGGAGUACGGUCGCAAGGCUAAAACUCAAAGGAAUUGACGGGGGCCCGCACAAGCGGCGGAGCAUGCGGAUUAAUUCGAUGCAACGCGAAGAACCUUACCAAGGCUUGACAUACACCGGACCGUCCUGGAAACAGGUCUUCUUCUUUGAAGCUGGUGUACAGGUGGUGCAUGGUUGUCGUCAGCUCGUGUCGUGAGAUGUUGGGUUAAGUCCCGCAACGAGCGCAACCCUCGUUCUAUGUUGCCAGCACGUGAUGGUGGGAACUCAUAGGAGACUGCCGGGGUCAACUCGGAGGAAGGUGGGGAUGACGUCAAAUCAUCAUGCCCUUUAUGUCUUGGGCUUCACGCAUGCUACAAUGGCUGGUACAGAGAGAGGCGAACCCGUGAGGGCAAGCGAAUCCCUUAAAGCCAGUCUCAGUUCGGAUCGUAGUCUGCAAUUCGACUACGUGAAGUCGGAGUCGCUAGUAAUCGCAGAUCAGCAACGCUGCGGUGAAUACGUUCCCGGGCCUUGUACACUCCGCCCGUCAAGUCACGAAAGUCGGUAACACCCGAAGCCG
RNAcentral lists this ribosomal RNA (1310 nucleotides) under Brevibacterium casei. RNAcentral describes it as "bacterial SSU rRNA". It matches the Rfam family "Bacterial small subunit ribosomal RNA", at positions 108 to 1429 of the family's 1533-position model. Lineage: Bacteria; Bacillati; Actinomycetota; Actinomycetes; Micrococcales; Brevibacteriaceae. The record is from RNAcentral.